RNAcentral lists this ribosomal RNA (500 nucleotides) under uncultured bacterium. RNAcentral's name for it is "partial 16S ribosomal RNA". It matches the Rfam family "Bacterial small subunit ribosomal RNA", at positions 30 to 523 of the family's 1533-position model. The record is from RNAcentral.
UUUGAACGCUGGCGGAAUGCUUUACACAUGCAAGUCGAACGGCAGCACGGACUUCGGUCUGGUGGCGAGUGGCGAACGGGUGAGUAAUGUAUCGGAACGUGCCCAGUCGUGGGGGAUAACGUAGUGAAAAUUACGCUAAUACCGCAUACGAUCUAUGGAUGAAAGCGGGGGAUCGCAAGACCUCGCGCGAUUGGAGCGGCCGAUAUCAGAUUAGGUAGUUGGUGGGGUAAAGGCCCACCAAGCCAACGAUCUGUAGCUGGUCUGAGAGGACGACCAGCCACACUGGAACUGAGACACGGUCCAGACUCCUACGGGAGGCAGCAGUGGGGAAUUUUGGACAAUGGGCGAAAGCCUGAUUCAGCCAUUCCGCGUGCAGGAUGAAGGCCCUCGGGUUGUAAACUGCUUUUGUACAGAACGAAAAGGUUUCUACUAAUACUAGGAGCUCAUAACGGUACUGUAAGAAUAAGCACCGGCUAACUACGUGCCAGCCGCCGCCGUAA